RNAcentral lists this ribosomal RNA (496 nucleotides) under Salmonella enterica. Its description in RNAcentral is "bacterial SSU rRNA". It matches the Rfam family "Bacterial small subunit ribosomal RNA", at positions 1 to 486 of the family's 1533-position model. RNAcentral also lists the same sequence under 1 other name. The record is from RNAcentral. Lineage: Bacteria; Pseudomonadati; Pseudomonadota; Gammaproteobacteria; Enterobacterales; Enterobacteriaceae.
AAAUUGAAGAGUUUGAUCAUGGCUCAGAUUGAACGCUGGCGGCAGGCCUAACACAUGCAAGUCGAACGGUAACAGGAAGCAGCUUGCUGCUUCGCUGACGAGUGGCGGACGGGUGAGUAAUGUCUGGGAAACUGCCUGAUGGAGGGGGAUAACUACUGGAAACGGUGGCUAAUACCGCAUAACGUCGCAAGACCAAAGAGGGGGACCUUCGGGCCUCUUGCCAUCAGAUGUGCCCAGAUGGGAUUAGCUGGUUGGUGAGGUAACGGCUCACCAAGGCGACGAUCCCUAGCUGGUCUGAGAGGAUGACCAGCCACACUGGAACUGAGACACGGUCCAGACUCCUACGGGAGGCAGCAGUGGGGAAUAUUGCACAAUGGGCGCAAGCCUGAUGCAGCCAUGCCGCGUGUAUGAAGAAGGCCUUCGGGUUGUAAAGUACUUUCAGCGGGGAGGAAGGUGUUGUGGUUAAUAACUGCAGCAAUUGACGUUACCCGCAGAA